This 460-nucleotide ribosomal RNA is filed under the name uncultured bacterium. RNAcentral describes it as "partial 16S ribosomal RNA". It matches the Rfam family "Bacterial small subunit ribosomal RNA", at positions 338 to 795 of the family's 1533-position model. The record is from RNAcentral.
CCUACGGGAGGCAGCAGUGAGGAAUAUUGGUCAAUGGGCGUAAGCCUGAACCAGCCAAGUCGCGUGAGGGAUGAAGGUUCUAUGGAUCGUAAACCUCUUUUAUAAGGGAAUAAAGUGUGGGACGUGUCCUGUUUUGAAUGUACCUUAUGAAUAAGGAUCGGCUAACUCCGUGCCAGCAGCCGCGGUAAUACGGAGGAUCCGAGCGUUAUCCGGAUUUAUUGGGUUUAAAGGGUGCGUAGGCGGCCUUUUAAGUCAGCGGUGAAAGCCUGUGGCUCAACCAUAGAAUUGCCGUUGAAACUGGGAGGCUUGAGUAUGGUAGAGGCAGGCGGAAUGCGUGGUGUAGGGGUGAAAUGCGUAGAUAUCACGAGGAACACCGAUUGCGAAGGCGACCUGCUAGGACAUGACUGACGCUGAUGCACGAAAGCGUGGGGAUCAAACAGGAUUAGAUACCCUUGUAGUC